UGAGGAAUUUUGCGCAAUGGGGGAAACCCUGACGCAGCAACGCCGCGUGAGUGAAGAAGGCUUUCGGGUCGUAAAGCUCUGUCAAAUGGGAAAAAACACUAUCGAUGAAUAGUCGAUAGAAUUGAUGGUACCAUUAGAGGAAGCACCGGCUAACUCCGUGCCAGCAGCCGCGGUAAUACGGAGGGUGCGAGCGUUGUUCGGAAUUAUUGGGCGUAAAGAGCGUGUAGGCGGUUCGGUAAGUCAGAUGUGAAAGCCCUGGGCUCAACCCAGGAAGUGCAUUUGAUACUGCCAUUCUUGAGUAUGGGAGAGGAGAGUGGAAUUCCCAGUGUAGAGGUGAAAUUCGUAGAUAUUGGGAAGAACACCCGUGGCGAAGGCGACUCUCGGGACCAAUACUGACGCUGAGACGCGAAAGCGUGGGGAGCAAACAGG
This 429-nucleotide ribosomal RNA is filed under the name uncultured bacterium. RNAcentral describes it as "bacterial SSU rRNA". It matches the Rfam family "Bacterial small subunit ribosomal RNA", at positions 355 to 776 of the family's 1533-position model. The record is from RNAcentral.